GCCCAAGUAGUCUAGCGGUUAGAUUUAAGUUCUAAUUGGACUUUAAAACCAAGACUGAGCCCUGUCGAGGCUCAAACCCGGGUUCAACUCCCGGCUUGGGCG
Molecule: transfer RNA, 102 nt
Filed under: Candidatus Woesearchaeota archaeon
Lineage: Archaea; Nanobdellati; Candidatus Woesearchaeota
Description: tRNA-Asp
Rfam family: tRNA
About the family: Transfer RNA (tRNA) molecules are approximately 80 nucleotides in length.
Source: RNAcentral